GCCGGCAGCUAGCUCUCUGCAACUCUCACAUGGUCGCCCUCUGAAGCUAAAGCAGGGCUGUGCACUGUCAGUACCUGGAUGAGAGACCACAUGGGAAAGCUAGGUUGCUGCUGGAA
Molecule: ribosomal RNA, 116 nt
Filed under: Danio rerio (zebrafish)
Lineage: Eukaryota; Metazoa; Chordata; Actinopteri; Cypriniformes; Danionidae
Source: RNAcentral